UCUCAAAAAUAAACAUUAAAAUUUUUUUUAAAAAAUGCUAGAGCAGUAUCACAAAUUCGAUGGGGACUGCCCUGACUGCUUCCGGACUUAGUUCUUCCUCUGUGCACAGGUAACACCUUGUUUUACUGCCUUUUGCUUCAUUGUGCAUCGCAGACACUGAGUUGUUUGUCUUGUGUUUUUUGUUUUUUUACGAAUUAAAGCUCUGUGGCCACCCUCCAUCAGGCAAGUCUCAUGGGGCCAUUUUUCCAACCGCAUUUGCUCGCUUUGUGUCUCUGUGUCACAUUUUAGUAAUUCCGGCAAUAUUUCAAACUUUGUCAUUCCUGGCAGAGUUGCUACGGUGAUCUGUGACCGGUGAUCUUUGCUGUUACUAUUGUGACUGUUCUGAGGCCCCACGAACCGCACCCACACAAGACGGUGAACUUAGCAACUGCUGGGUGUGUUUGACCGCUGCACCUCCCUGCACAGCAUCUUCCUGUCCUCGGCAAACGUCACUGUCGUCUUAUCCUAGGAAACGGCCACGGCCACCCCCGCCUUCAGCAACCACCGCCCUGAUCAGUCAGCAGCCACCAACAUGGAGGCAAAGACCCUCCACCAGCAGAAGACGACUCACCGAGACCUUCGACAGUGGUUGGCAGUUUUUGCAAUAAAGCAUUUUAAUAUUAAGGAUUCUACCAGGCCCCCCCAUCCGUCCUCCGCUCCCUACAAGUGGCUGCCCAGGACCCCACCUGCACAGAGGGAACAAAACCAGUAACCAGUGGCCAAGAAUAGAGGUGACCACGAGGGCCGGCCGGAAACCCUCAGACUGAGCUCCAGGGAGCCACGGGAGUCACAACCGCACGGACCUUACAGGAGGACAAGGAAGGAGGGCCAGGUGGAAGCGUGUGGCCCGACCUGCAGCCAGAGUGAAGCCAGCUCCCCACACCCAAGGCCAGCAAGCCGGCGUCCACCCCACACCCGGGAACUAAGGCUUUCGUAAAAGGUUUGGUGGGAAGGAAGCUUCAACUAAUCCGACUAUUUCAAACCUAACUGAAUGUCUGCUAUGCACAAGGCCCUGUGCUGGGCAAGACAAUACUCAGGUGAGCUACGUAUGGUCUGGGAAGGUGAGUUUGGCCACAGGAAAGUAACUCUGGUGGGAAAAGUGCAAUCUAAGGGGGCCGGGUGGAGGGAAAGAUCACAUCUACUGGGAGGGAGGGUCUGGAAAAGUUAGAGGAGGCAUUUGGCAUUUUACCCCAGGCCAUAGAGUCUUGGUGCAGCUUCAAAAGUCAGGUCAGGGAGGAAGGCCUCCAGUCAGAGGGAACUGCAUGAGGAAGGGCAAGGAAGUAGGAAGUUAAGGAGCAUCCAAGGGCUGGGCCAGGGGAGCUCCAGCAGGCCAGUGCCCGGGGAACUGCAGGGAGGAAACAGAUGUUAACCCAGCCCUGGGGUCACUGUGGCUGUGGAAGGGGACGGUGGCGGGGUGGGUGGUGGAGAAAGAAGAGAGAAGAGUCAGAGGCCACUGGAAUUUUAACCUACAGGGGGAAGGGAAGAAUGCCUGGAAGCAGUUAUUCAGAACUCUGCAGGGCUUAGCAAUGUGCUCAAUAAUACACAGCAAUGCAUAAUUCAGUAAAUGCCAUCGCCAUCCUGCCAGUGGCUGAGGCCAAAAUCUCAGAGUCAUCCUCAAAUCCUCUCCAGGACAUGCAGUCUCUCAGUAAGCUGCCCGCCUCCCUCCAGAAUACCCCCACACCCAGCCACGCCCCCCCACCCCGCCCUGAAAGGCUCUGUCCCCACAUCCUCCGGUGGCCACCUCCUGCACCUCAAGUCUCCUCCUCCAGGAAACCUUCCCUGACCACCAGACCCCUUCCCAGGCACUCGGGUUGCCCCAUUUUACUCACUGAUGUCUGUCUCAACACUCGUGCCCCCCACCUUUCCUGGCUUGUCUAUAGCCAUAUCCCCAAUUCUUGGAACAGAGUCGCGCGCAGCCUAUGGACUCAAUAAAUGUUUGCUGAACUGCACAUAAUGCCAUUGGAGGAACGCAGGGUCCCCCGUGCACUGUAUUCACAGACUCGUGACAUUCGCUGCCCAGAGCUGCUGCUUGCAGGAGUUGCACCCCAAGACUGGGUCAGACCAAGGGCAGUCGAUGCCGGUGCCUGCGGAGUGCUCAGUAUGGAUGGGUGAGGCUGUCAGCAAGUGGUGGCCCCAGGAGAGGGGCAGAGGCAGAGACAGAGACACAGAAGGGGAGAAGGAAGUCACCGCCCUGUGGGCAGACACUUAUCCGCAGCCUGAAGGUCUGGAGGGGGGUUGCAGCUACAGACUGAUGCAAUUUCCUUAGCACCAACUGCUGUGGGAAACAUAACAGGUUAACUUCCUCGUCCCCACACACAGCGGGGGGACAUCAGCAGGCACAGAGGCCUGGCACCGGUCCCACUGCCCGGCCGGGCCCGCAGCUGCCUGGUGCACAGUUGCUCAGCCAGGGACCCCUCGCACAAGCCCGAGGCCGGCUUCGGGCUCCACCCAUUUCCUUAGCCUCCAACGGCCCUGCCUCUCGCCCCUGAAGCUGUCUGUCCUGCACAGCGCCUCUUCGCGAACAGGUCUCUUUGGAUCCUGACAACAGGGAUACAAAGAGAGGCCAUUUGACAGACCGGAA
Prionailurus viverrinus (fishing cat) is the source of this 2620-nucleotide long non-coding RNA. RefSeq lists it as uncharacterized. NCBI's taxonomy places the organism in Eukaryota, Metazoa, Chordata, Mammalia, Carnivora, Felidae. The transcript is spliced from 4 exons. The record is from RefSeq and is a predicted model, not a curated record.